CACUGCCCUUCAUGUUUAAAUACAAAAUCACUGAUCAUGUGGCUUCAUGUAGCCUUCUGGCAACAGCUUACGGGCCCUUUUAAACUGGAUACAUUAGGUCUGUUCCCUGGUAAGACUCUGGCCCCUGAGACUGUCACUUUUGAAAUUCCUGCAGUGUUAAAAGCCUGAGUCUCCUUUCACAAUUAGCCAGCAAUUCCAUAAGAAAAUAGCACUGAAGGUUUCUGAGCCUGUUUCCUCAAAGGAGAUGCGAGUUCUCACCUUCCAGGGCUGUUCUGAGGAGGGAAAGUGGCACAUCAAUAGGCACACCUGCAGAGUGUCUGGGAUGAGCCUGGCGUGUGCUCGCUGACUGCCAAGGUGACGUAGUGCCAAGUACAAUGCCGGACACAUGGUAUUCAAGACCCAAAUACUGAACUGAACCCAAAGUGUGAGAACUUUUUGGUCGAGAAAGGAGAUAUCUUGUGAAUAUAAGAAUGAAAGGAUUAUAUGCUUCUCUCUAGGGUAGAGCCCCUGGAUAGCCUCAGAUGGAGCUGGUUGACCAGCAGGAAGACCAAGUGACUAGAAGGAUGGAACUUUCAGCACCACCUACCCACCUCCAGGAAGCGGGGUGGUGGGAGAUGGAGCCCUAUAAAAACUCUUCUUCAGUGACAUUCAGACAGCUUCCGGGUUGGUGAAUACAUGGAGGUGCUGAGAGGGUGGAGUGCCCAGAGACGGCAGGAGAGCUCCACGCACUCUCACUCCACCGUCGCACCUUGCCCUAUGCAUCUCUUCCAUUUGGCUGUUCCUGAGCUGUAUCCUUUAUAAUAAACCAAUAAAC
Molecule: long non-coding RNA, 814 nt
Organism: Piliocolobus tephrosceles (Ugandan red Colobus)
Lineage: Eukaryota; Metazoa; Chordata; Mammalia; Primates; Cercopithecidae
Exons: 3
Source: RefSeq, a predicted model, not a curated record